Molecule: long non-coding RNA, 382 nt
Filed under: Phascolarctos cinereus (koala)
Lineage: Eukaryota; Metazoa; Chordata; Mammalia; Diprotodontia; Phascolarctidae
Description: lncRNA (ENSPCIG00000018116.2)
Source: RNAcentral
CUGAAAUUUAUCAGUUAUUGAGUUAACUAGUUCCAUGUAAAGGAUCGGGAUGAAUGAUUCAGAUUACCCUUAUCUAUUUCACCAAGAGGAGAGCAAGAGCAGUUUUCAUUGUCUUGCUGGCAGAGAAACACUUCAUGCACAAAGGAGCAGAGAUGAUCAAAUAUGCAUGAAGGGAGAGGAGAAAGAGAGCGAGAGCCAUAGGGAUGGAGAAACAACAGCCACAGAAGAUGAAAAGAAAAUAUGAGCUGAAAUGAGCAAUAAUCAAAGAGAGGUUUUCUUUCAGUAAUUGUAUCCUGGAAUACCGAAUGGAAAACCCCAGCUUUGGCAGCAGUUACUCUCAGCGGCUAGAGAGAUGAAUAAAGUUCUACACAACAGAGUGUCA